RNAcentral lists this transfer RNA (72 nucleotides) under Bacteroidota bacterium. RNAcentral's name for it is "tRNA-Glu". It matches the Rfam family "tRNA". From Rfam's summary of the family: Transfer RNA (tRNA) molecules are approximately 80 nucleotides in length. Their secondary structure includes four short double-helical elements and three loops (D, anti-codon, and T loops). Lineage: Bacteria; Pseudomonadati; Bacteroidota. The record is from RNAcentral.
GGUCCGUUCGUCUAGGGGUUAGGACACCAGAUUUUCAUUCUGGUAACACGGGUUCGAUUCCCGUACAGACUA